GUGCCAGCAGCCGCGGUAAAACGUAGGACACGAGCGUUAUCCGGAGUUACUGGGCGUAAAGGGCGUUUAGGCGGGUGAUUAAGUUCGCUAUGAAAGCGCCGGGCUAAACCCGGCGAGGCUGGCGGAUACUGGUCAUCUGGAGUGAGCGAGAGGGAGGUAGAAUUCCGCGUGUAGUGGUGAAAUGCGUAGAGAUGCGGAGGAAUACCAGUGGCGAAGGCGGCCUCCUGGCGCUUAACUGACGCUGAAGCGCGAAAGCAUGGGGAGCGAACGGGAUUAGAAACCCGCGUAGUCC
This 292-nucleotide ribosomal RNA is filed under the name uncultured bacterium. RNAcentral describes it as "partial 16S ribosomal RNA". It matches the Rfam family "Bacterial small subunit ribosomal RNA", at positions 505 to 796 of the family's 1533-position model. The record is from RNAcentral.